RNAcentral lists this ribosomal RNA (257 nucleotides) under uncultured bacterium. RNAcentral describes it as "partial 16S ribosomal RNA". It matches the Rfam family "Bacterial small subunit ribosomal RNA", at positions 524 to 779 of the family's 1533-position model. The record is from RNAcentral.
UACGGAGGGUGCGAGCGUUGUCCGGAAUCACUGGGCGUAAAGGGCGCGUAGGUGGCCUGUGGAAGUCUGCGGUGAAAGCCCGGCGCUCAACGCCGGGUCGGCCGUGGAUACUCUCGGGCUUGAGCUUACUAGAGGCAGAUGGAAUUCCGGGUGUAGCGGUGGAAUGCGUAGAGAUCCGGAAGAACACCGGUGGCGAAGGCGGUCUGCUGGGGUAAUGCUGGACACUGAUGCGCGACACGUGGGGAGCAAACAGGAGU